GACGAACGCUGGCGGCGUGCUUAACACAUGCAAGUCGAGCGGUAAGGCCCUUCGGGUACACGAGCGGCGAACGGGUGAGUAACACGUGGGUGACCUGCCCUUAGCUCUGGGAUAAGCCUGGGAAACUGGGUCUAAUACCGGAUAUGACCUCAUGACGCAUGUUGUGGGGUGGAAAGCCUUGUGCGGCUAGGGAUGGGCCCGCGGCCUAUCAGCUUGUUGGUGGGGUGAUGGCCACCAAGGCGACGACGGGUAGCCGGCCUGAGAGGGCGACCGGCCACACUGGGACUGAGACACGGCCCAGACUCCUACGGGAGGCAGCAGUGGGGAAUCUUGCGCAAUGGGCGAAAGCCUGACGCAGCGACGCCGCGUGAGGGAUGACGGCCUGGUGUAAC
This 392-nucleotide ribosomal RNA is filed under the name uncultured bacterium. Its description in RNAcentral is "bacterial SSU rRNA". It matches the Rfam family "Bacterial small subunit ribosomal RNA", at positions 28 to 429 of the family's 1533-position model. The record is from RNAcentral.